This 467-nucleotide ribosomal RNA is filed under the name uncultured bacterium. RNAcentral describes it as "partial 16S ribosomal RNA". It matches the Rfam family "Bacterial small subunit ribosomal RNA", at positions 28 to 506 of the family's 1533-position model. The record is from RNAcentral.
GACGAACGCUGGCGGCGUGCUUAACACAUGCAAGUCGAACGGAAAGGCCCUGCUCUUGUGGGGUGCUCGAUUGGCGAACGGGUGAGUAACACGUGAGUAACCUGCCCUUGACUUUGGGAGAACUUCAGGAAACUGGGGCUAAUACCGGAUAGGAUCUCCUGCUGCACGGUGGGGGUUGGAAAGUUUCGGCGGUUGGGGAUGGACUCGCGGCUUAUCAGCUUGUUGGUGGGGUAGUGGCUUACCAAGGCUUUGACGGGUAGCCGGCCUGAGAGGGUGACCGGCCACAGUGGGACUGAGAUACGGCCCAGACUCCUACGGGAGGCAGCAGUGGGGAAUAGUGCACAAUGGGCGGAAGCCGGAAGCAGCAACGCCGCAUGCGGGAAGACGGCCUUCGGGUUGUAAACCGCUUUCGCCUGUGAAGAAACGUGAGGGACGGUAAUAGGUAAAGAAGCACCGGCGAACUACGU